Molecule: long non-coding RNA, 1947 nt
Filed under: Salmo salar (Atlantic salmon)
Lineage: Eukaryota; Metazoa; Chordata; Actinopteri; Salmoniformes; Salmonidae
Description: lncRNA (ENSSSAG00000114486.1)
Source: RNAcentral
UUAGUGUCUGUGUUGCCAACCAGGCACCCCCAUAACAAAUCACCCCUCUUCAACUGAAAUAUCGACAAUGUUCUUCAGCCCGGGCACUGAUUUGAGAUUUGGCUCUUCUGAUAUGCAAGCCGGCUCCCAACGUUCACCUACAAGAGCCGGCUCUUAGAGCCGACUCGUCCGUGAACGACCCAUCACUACAGUCUCCAACUGCACAGAGAGAGUGGAUGCUCCUGUAUCUCUGUGCUGCUUCUUUCACCUCUAGACUUCUCCAUUCAACUUUUACCACCUCCUGACACCUUUCAUCUGGACUCCUUUAGUGUGUGCGCUUCACUGCCCAAAGUAAGUAGACUUAGUGGAGCCAGAGUGUCUUUGUGUAUUAGUUUAUGCACCUGUUGUAUUCUAUGUAACAAACACUUAUUACCGGCUUACUAACUAUUCAACUGUUAUCAAACUGGUAUUUGGUGUAAUUUAAACUCAGCAAGAAAAGAAAUGUCCCUUUUUCAAGACACUGUCUUUCAAAGAUAAUUCGUAAAAAUCCCAAUAACUUCACAGAUCUUCAUUGUAAAGGGUUUAAACACUGUUUCCCAUGCUUGUUCAAUGAACCAUAAACAAUUAAUGAACAUGCACCUGUGGAACGGUCGUUAAGACACUAACAGCUUACAGACGGUAGGCAAUUAAGGUCACAGUUAUGAAAACUUAGGACACUAAAGAGGCCUUUCUACUGACUCUGAAAAACACCAAAAGAAAGAUGCCUAGGGUAUCAUGACACAAGGCGAGACCCAGAAGCCGACACAGGAGGCAGAUGGUUGGAGUCUUACAAUAUUUAUUCAUCCAAUAGGGUAAAGCAAGAGAAUGGUCGCAGACAGGCAAAGGGUCAAAACCAGUUUGGAGUCCAAAAGGUACCGAAGGGCAGGCAGAAUCAAGGUCAGGGCAGGCAGGAUGAUCAGGCAGGCGGAAAAGUAGUCCUGAGUCAGGCAGGGGUCAAAACCGGGAAGACUAUCAAAAAGAGAAUAAAAAAGGGAGUACGGGAAAAACACACUGGUUGACUUAACUAACAUAAAGACGAACUGGCACAGAGAGACAGGAAACACAAGGAUAAAUACACUGGGGAAAAUAAGCGACACCUAGAGGGGGUGGAGACAAUAACAGGAGCAGGUGAAACAGAUCAGGGCGUGACACAGGGUCCCUACUAGAGGUCGACCGAUAAUGAUUUUUCAACACCGAUACCAAUUAUUGGAGGGCCAAAAAAGCCGCUACCGAUUAAUCGGCCAAUUUUUUACACAAUGUAUUUAUUUGUAAUAAUGACAAUUACAACAAUACUGAAUGAACACUUAUUUUAACUUAAUAUAAUACAUCAAUAAAAUCAAUUUAGCCUCAAAUAAAUAAUGAAACAUGUUCAAUUUGGUUUAAAUAAUGCAAAACAAAGUGUUGGAGAAGAAAGUAAAAGUGCAAUAUGUGCCAUGUAAGAAAGCUAACGUUUAAGUGCCUUGCUCAGAACAUGGGAACAUAUGAAGGCUGGUGGUUCCUUUUAACAUGAGUCUUCAAUAUUCCCAGGUAAGAAGUUUUAGGUUGUAGUUAUUAUAGGAAUUAUAGGACUAUUUCUCUAUACGAUUUGUAUUUCAUAUACCUUUGACUAUUGGAUGUUCUAAUAGGCACUUUAGUAUUGCCAGUGUAACAGUAUAUCUUCCGUCCCUCUCCUCGCUCCUACCUGAGCUCGAACCAGAAACACAUCGACAACACCCACCCUCGAAGCAGCGUUACCCAUGCAGAGCAAGGGGAACAACUACUCCAAGUCUCAGAGCGAGUGACGUUUGAAACGCUAUUAGCGCGCACCCCACUAACUAGCUAGCCAUUUCACAUCGGUUACACCAGCCUAAUCUUGGGAGUUGAUAGGCUUGAAGGGGUGGGUAUAAUUUGUGGAACGUUCCAACAGGAAUCUGUUCCAAAAAACAUAAA